Molecule: ribosomal RNA, 253 nt
Filed under: uncultured bacterium
Lineage: Bacteria
Description: partial 16S ribosomal RNA
Rfam family: Bacterial small subunit ribosomal RNA
Source: RNAcentral
UACGAAGGACCCGAGCGUUAUCCGGAUUCAUUGGGUUUAAAGGGUGCGUAGGCGGGAUAGUAAGUCAGUGGUGAAAUCCUGUAGCUUAACUACAGAACUGCCAUUGAUACUGCUAACCUUGAGUACAACUGAUGUGGGCGGAAUAUGGCAUGUAGCGGUGAAAUGCUUAGAUAUGCCAUAGAACACCGAUUGCGAAGGCAGCUCACAAAAUUGUUACUGACGCUGAGGCACGAAAGCAUGGGGAUCAAACAGG